RNAcentral lists this ribosomal RNA (253 nucleotides) under uncultured bacterium. Its description in RNAcentral is "partial 16S ribosomal RNA". It matches the Rfam family "Bacterial small subunit ribosomal RNA", at positions 524 to 776 of the family's 1533-position model. The record is from RNAcentral.
UACAGAGGGUGCGAGCGUUAAUCGGAAUUACUGGGCGUAAAGGGUGCGUAGGUGGUGGCAUAAGUUAGGUGUGAAAGUCCUGGGCUUAACCUGGGGAUUGCGCCUAAUACUGUGAGGCUUGAGUAUUGUAGAGGAAAGUGGAAUUUCCGGUGUAGCGGUGAAAUGCGUAGAUAUCGGAAGGAACAUCAGUGGCGAAGGCGACUUUCUGGACAAAUACUGACACUGAGGCAAGAAAGCAUGGGGAGCAAACAGG